AGCAGAAACGGCUGUUGUAUGGGAUAAAGUCCAUUUGUAUUAAAAAGUAAUAAUCGAUGUUAGUAAAUUGUAGUUGAUCAAUAUUUCUCCAUUUUCUGUUUACUUUAAAUUUGAUUCCGGAUGAACUCAUGUUUAUCUUUGGCAUUGCCUAAAUCUCUGAGCAUAAUA
This is a long non-coding RNA of Octopus sinensis (East Asian common octopus), 168 nucleotides long. RefSeq lists it as uncharacterized. The record is from RefSeq and is a predicted model, not a curated record. The transcript is spliced from 3 exons. Lineage: Eukaryota; Metazoa; Mollusca; Cephalopoda; Octopoda; Octopodidae.